Molecule: long non-coding RNA, 2269 nt
Organism: Neodiprion virginianus
Lineage: Eukaryota; Metazoa; Arthropoda; Insecta; Hymenoptera; Diprionidae
Exons: 3
Source: RefSeq, a predicted model, not a curated record
UCAUUCCUUUUUUGAAGCCCAUAGGUAGAGAAAGAGAGAAUGCUAGUGAGGCGCCGGCUAGAAGUUGAUAAAAUAUGUGGAAGGUUCUCUCGUCCUUGGCCUGACGGAUAGCCCUGGAUUUUUCAAGGAGUUUUCGCAUUUCCAAAGGCCUCCAAGAUGGGAUUGGCUUGCAGUAAUUGUUGUUCCAGUUCACCCUGCGAAACAGAUUCAGUCACAAGUUAAAAAUCUGCGAAUAAUGACAAAAAUAAUGCGAGACUACAGAGUGCAAAAUUUUACCAAAAUUCCCUCCUUUUGCAGCGAAAAUUAAUUAAAAAUUCCACAUGCGAUUACCUAGAGUAACUUUACACGACACUUGUACCGUAUCAAAUUUUCAUUACAAAUAAUAAAAAAAAUACCAACUCUCAUACAGAAUCGUUCUACUGGUAAAUAUUUUUGACGUCAUAAAACAAAAAUCUGUUUGAUCGGUGAAAAUAUUGAAGUUUUACACACAUGCUGGAAUAUGAUUGAAGAAAUUUACUUUCUUGCAAUACUACGUUUUUUUUCUAUAUUUUACUCUGAACUCAUAUUUUUUGUAUCAGUAUUGGUAACGGCAAAGAAUUUUAAAUACAGAUAGGAAAAAGAACUUCAAACGUACAACAUGAUACGGCACAGCGACCGAUGCAGAAUGUUUACGAAUUUUGCAAGCACUGCAGAUACACAUAUACAUAUAUGUAAGGAAUGCGAUAAAAAAAAAAAGUUGCCCACGUUGCAACACAGGUAAUAUAUACCCUCAGGCAACGAUUAUUAUCGUCCGCACAUGAAAUAUAUCAGAAGACACAGAGAGUUAAAAAUUACAGCAAGCAUUAAUUCUGCACUUUUUUUUUUCAAAUAAACUACCCUGUUUUAAGAUUGUACAAAGAGAAAAGAAAAAGCAAUUUUCAGGAUAUAAAUAACCACAUUAAAAAAUAUCAAGCAGGCAGCACCAUCGUUAUGCAUAUAAUAAUUAUACAUUAUAGAUUACACGUGUGUUCGUAUAUAAUGAUCAGUGUUAAUUACCGAAAAUUUUUCCGUAAGCGUCCCUGUAGGUGACUUCAUUUACGAUGAGCAGGAAAGCGAGUGAACAAAACAAAACAAAAAAAAAAGACAACAACAACCCAUAAUUAGAUGUCAUUAUUUUUUGUUACUUUCACAAAUGAAUUUGUUACAAAAUUGUAGUAAUAAUGAAUAUUGAUGUGAGAAAAAAAAGCAACACGAAACAAUGAUACUGUUAAUACUUAGGCCAAAAUUUGGAAAAACUGAAAAAAAACACAGCCACAUAUAUUUGUUAAUUAUAUAUAUAUAUAUAAAACAAGAGGAAAAAAAAUCUGGUAAAUUCCGUAGACGUGUUAAAAAACGGUCGAAACCUAAAUAAUUAUUAAAAAAAUUAUUUUUCUUUCUUCUCAUUUUUAAUAAAGCGUCACAUCUAAGGAAUGGUGUAUAAAUUAUAUACCUAUAUAAUACGUUAAACCUGAUUUGGCUGUUCAUAUUUAAUAUUUCAACUUACAAUGAUCAACGCCGGACUUGGAGUCUGUGGGUGGAUCCGGAAAUGUCACCACCGAGAAUAAAAGAAAUUUUAAACAUUAGAUUCACUCGCCUCUUUACACAGAAUAUAACGUAAUUUCGAUAACAUUUUUGCUUAUAUAACUUACACGUAUUAUAUGCGUUUAAUUAUCUAAACUUCGUAAAUUAGGAUAAAAAAAAAAAUAAAUUAAAUAAAAAAUUUUCACAUACAUUCUUCGUGGAAAAAAAUAAAUUACAAGUAUGACAAACCAAUCGUGAAAAUUAAGACGGAUUUAACAUUGUGCGGGUAACCCUGUGUACAAUUCAUUUAUAUUUUUUGUGCUUCUUACAAAAAAAGAGGGGCAGGGGGGGCAAGAAAUUGGGAACACGCAAAGGUGUGCGCGGUGAAUUGCGUAAAGUGCAUUCAUAAUGCAAUUAACGAUAACUAUCUCGUAUAAUAAUGAUUGACGGUGUUGCUCCUAAUCUAAUUUCAUAAUGUGCGGCACGCGAUGCGAACCAAGUACCGCGUAGUUGAAUAAUUACGACAAUAACAAUAAUAACAAUAAUAAUAAUUGGAACAAGUCGCAAGAAAAAUAAUAGUAAUAAUCGGUAAAUACUUUUACAACUAUUUUACAAAAUUCCGUACAGAUUGCUAAACGAAUAAAAGAAAACAAAAAAAAAAAAAAAAAAAAUAAACCAUCCCGGAUCAAACGAAGCAUCCGAGUGCAAAUUCGAUUAGAUACAUUAAAUA